Molecule: long non-coding RNA, 283 nt
Filed under: Elaeis guineensis (African oil palm)
Lineage: Eukaryota; Viridiplantae; Streptophyta; Magnoliopsida; Arecales; Arecaceae
Description: long non-coding RNA (EGUI_LNC005599)
Source: RNAcentral
AUAUUAAUGAAAUUUUAUAUCUGAACUUUUCAAACAUAACAUUCACAUGUUCAUGGAUCUUAAUGCAGAUUGCCAGUUGGGUCAUGUUGCAACUAAAUCUCAAAUUUAAGAACCUAAAUAAAAAAAUUAGAAGUUUUAGAAUGUAGCUGCAAAUUACAAAAGAUUAAAGAGGUGCCACUACAAUUUUCAUAAACAAUUAAGACUGCAAAUGGGAUGGGUCGACCCGUGACCCGAUCCACUUAUAUCCGAUCCAAUCCGUUUUAAAAGACCCGCAGGUCAGGUC